CCUGGGUGGCAGCAGGAGAGAAGCAGUAACAAGGGGGGAAACCCUGAUGGGGCGACGCCGCGCGGGGGAAGGAAGGUCUUCGGAUUGUAAACCCCUGUCAUGUGGGAGCAAAUUAAAAAGAUAGUACCACAAGAGGAAGAGACGGCUAACUCUGUGCCAGCAGCCGCGGUAAUACAGAGGUCUCAAGCGUUGUUCGGAAUCACUGGGCGUAAAGCGUGCGUAGGCUGUUUCGUAAGUCGUGUGUGAAAGGCGCGGGCUUAACCCGCGGACGGCACAUGAUACUGCGAGACUAGAGUAAUGGAGGGGGAACCGGAAUUCUCGGUGUAGCAGUGAAAUGCGUAGAUAUCGAGAGGAACACUCGUGGCGAAGGCGGGUUCCUGGACCUUAACUGACGCUGAGGCACGAAGGCCAGGGGAGCGAAAGGGAUUAGAUACCCCAGUAGUC
This 444-nucleotide ribosomal RNA is filed under the name uncultured bacterium. Its description in RNAcentral is "partial 16S ribosomal RNA". It matches the Rfam family "Bacterial small subunit ribosomal RNA", at positions 338 to 795 of the family's 1533-position model. The record is from RNAcentral.